Molecule: long non-coding RNA, 2413 nt
Organism: Coturnix japonica (Japanese quail)
Lineage: Eukaryota; Metazoa; Chordata; Aves; Galliformes; Phasianidae
Source: Ensembl
UGCGUGUCUUCCAGCUUCUCUGUUGUUUCAGACCCAGAGAAGGACUUGUGUUUCUGUGGUGCUGCCACUAGCAGUAAUCAUAUUGCUGUGAUGGUCUCUCAUAAAUGAGAACAUAUUUCUCAGGAGGAGUGUCGUGCUCUAGCUUGUAUAGAUAGGAAAAACUGAACAAGUUUGGAGCACAUGAGCGUCUUUUGGCUCAGAAGAGCACCUCACAGCUCACUUGUUUGUUCCAGUUUUAUCAGUAUCUCUAAUGAAAUGCAUUGCUUCAUCCUGAAAACCUUGCUGUUCUUACAUCCACGGUUCCUACUAGCUUCAGAUGGAUUUGUUCCAGUUAAAACUGGCCUAUGCAUCUUCAGGCUCUACUAUGAAAAGUGUUGAGCGUCUGACCUGGCCUGGACAUCAGCAGUGACAGUGUUGGCAACCGUGACUGGGAUGGCUGCUCAGAUUUUGAGGAGUUUUUUUUUUUUCCACGAAGGUAUGGAAAGAGGGAGGAGAGCCUACAUAAUGAAGUGGAGCACAGUGAAAAGAUUGCAGAGCUCCUUUGAAUCCCCAGGAAACUGGGUGCCACUGGAGGGCAUAACUCUAAGAGAACAGCCACGGCUUCAGGCUGAAUCCUGCAGGGUCAUCUACUUUCAACUCACUAACCUGGAUGCAGGUGCAGUCACCGACUGUCACAGGAAGAGGUCCUCAGGUCCUUUCAUUUGUGACUGUGUCUGUGUUCGCUCUUCAGAUGUGCAGAGUCUUUCCCAGUUAUUUAAAGUGUUGAACUGAGAAGAGAAAAAGAGUGAAAAAGAAAAUGAGAGAACAGGAAGGAAGGAAAGAAAAGCAAGAAAGUAAGAAAGACAGUAAGAAGAAGAAAAGGGACAAUUCUCCCCACAUCCUCACAGACGAGGGAAGAGCUCACAAAAGGGUUUUUCAAUGCUGUGUUGUAAUAUCUUAUUUUAGGUUCUGAUCUGAAAUCCUUUGACGUCAGCUAACUUCCAGUGAAUUUAAUGUACUCUGGAUCAGGCUUGUCAUGUGGAUCUCAGACUUACUGUUUGUGGAUUAGCAUGAAUCUGUGGAUUAGCUUUCCAGAACAAAUACGUAACUUUAAAAAUGAAUUAGGCUAUUGUUUUAACAUGAACAGGUUUCAAUAUACAUGUCCCUGUGUAUGUAGAUGGGUGGCACAGUAUUUUUGAAAGGUGGGUGAUCAAGUCAUUUUAACAACAUGUUUGCUGUUGAGGUUAGCAGUGUUUAGGUUAAUGGAAAAGGAUCCUGUCUUGUGAAGCAUUUCCACCAGAAAUACUGGAGUCUAAACAAAAACCUCUUCCUAUUCUGAAAAACGUGGAACUGCAGACUGUUGCUACUUUGCCUUUUACAUACUUACCUAUGUAUAUACUUUAUGCACCUAGUGAGUAUAUCCGUAUCAUUAAAAAACAUAAUCUUCAUCAGUUUAUAAUAUGUAUCACCUCUGUUUGGUCACAGAGGACAGUAUACAAGUUAAAAUACAGAUGCACCUACCUUAUGCUUGUAUAAUAUUAAAUUUCUUUAAAGCUCUACUGCCAUAUAUGAUUCCAGAAUCAUGAUUUCUUGACAUUUUGGAAAUUCCAUAUAUUAUUUUUUUUUAAACAUAUCAUAACUUUCUUAGGCUUUACAUCAUCCAGUCUUUCAGUUCUAACUCAUGUCUCUACUCCAGUUUGAUAGCUUUAUGUGCAUAUGUUGGUUGGCAACACACCAGCACUGCAGAAAUAUCACAGACUUGAGUAAGACAUAAUACUCAGCCCUAAGAUGACCAGAAAAUAGCCCUUGGGUCUCAUGGUCUCAUGGGUGCAGGGUCAUUGUUCGCAUGUUGGAGGAGGGAGGGGUAUGGUUCAGAAGAUCCCAUGCCUUCUCCAUGUGAAAACCCAAAGACAAACGUCAGCCCUGAGAAACACCUGAUUGCCUGGAAGCAGCAAAAAAAAAAAAAAAAAAAAAAAAAAAAGACGACCCUUUCCCUCUGGAACACUUCCUCGGAAAGCAUGACAGUAAUGAAAACUUGGUGACACUGCAUCAGCAUUCAGCAACAGGAGCUUAACUAGGCUGUGUGGCAGAAACUUAAGAUUAGCAUGUCAAAAUAACUGGUGUGAACAGAAACUGAGCUACAAUCCAGAACCCAGAUGAAACUAAAUUAUCCAAUAUGAUCUGAAAAUGCCAGGUAGUUCUCAAACGGAAAGGCUGCAGUGCUUCUGAAUAAGCUGGCAUGCAUUUCAUAUAUUGCUUUCCUGCUCACUUGAUAAACUUCUCACUGUAUAUUUUGGCACAUUCUUGCAAUCUUUUAUUAGAAAUGAUUUCCAGUUUAUUAUUAAAUGAUUAUUUCCAAUUAAAAUAUGUCCCAUCCCCCCAAACAAUCAAUUUAAAUAAUAAAAUAAAAACUGUUUUGUUUGUUUGCUUUACA